UGGUCAAGUUAUUAAGGGUGCAGGGCGGAUGCCUUGGCACUAGGAGCCGAUGAAGGACGUGAUAAGCUGCGAUAAGCUUCGGGGAGUUGCACGUAAACUUUGAUCCGAAGAUUUCCGAAUGAGGAAACUCACUUAGAGUAAUGUCUAAGUAUCAUUAAGUGAAUACAUAGCUUAAUGAGGGGAACUCAGGGAACUGAAACAUCUAAGUACCUGAAGGAAGAGAAAGAAAUUCGAUUCCGUAAGUAGCGGCGAGCGAACGCGGAUUAGCCCAAACCAAUAAAGUUUUCUUUAUUGGGGUUGCGGACAUAUCAUAACGAAGAGGUAUCGUAAUUGAAGAGGUUUGGAAAGACCCACCACAGAAGGUAAUAGUCCUGUAUGUUAAACGAGAAGACUUUAGAUAUGAUCCAGAGUACCACGGGACACGUGAAACCCUGUGGGAAGCAGGAGGGACCACCCUCCAAGGCUAAAUACUACCUAGUGACCGAUAGCGUAUAGUACCGUGAGGGAAAGGUGAAAAGAACCCCGGGAGGGGAGUGAAAUAGAACCUGAAACCCUGCACUUACAAGCUGUGGAAGCACAUUUCUUGUGUGACCGCGUACUUUUUGUAGAACGGGCCAACGAGUUACGUUAAGUAGCAAGGUUAAGCACUUAAGGUGUGGAGCCGUAGCGAAAGCGAGUUUUAACUGAGCGUUCAGUUACUUGACGUAGACCCGAAACCGGGCGACCUACCCAUGAGCAGGAUGAAGCGAAAGUAAAAUUUCGUGGAGGUCCGAACCCACGAGCGUUGAAAAGCUCGGGGAUGACUUGUGGGUAGCGGUGAAAUUCCAAUCGAGCCCGGAGAUAGCUGGUUCUCCCCGAAAUAGCUUUAGGGCUAGCCUCAAGGUGAGAGAUACGGAGGUAGAGCACUGAAUGUCCUAGGGGGUAUUGCACCUACCGAAGACUAUCAAACUCCGAAUGCCGUCAUCUUAUACUUGGGAGUCAGACUGUGGGUGAUAAGAUUCAUAGUCGAAAGGGCAACAGCCCAGAUCGUCAGCUAAGGUCCCUAAAUGUAAGUUAAGUGGUAAAGGAUGUGGGAUUGCACAGACAACCAGGAUGUUGGCUUAGAAGCAGCCACUCAUUCAAAGAGUGCGUAAUAGCUCACUGGUCGAGUGAUCCUGCGCCGAAGAUUUCCGGGGCUAAAACUUACUACCGAAGCUACGGCAUCAGUAAUGAUGGGUAGGGGAGCUUCCCAUACGGGUUGAAGCAUGACCGUAAGGACAUGUGGACAGUAUGGGAGUGAGAAUGUUGGCAUGAGUAGCGAGAUGUGGGUGAGAAUCCCACAGGCCGUAAACCCAAGGUUUCCAGGGGAAGGUUCGUCCGCCCUGGGUUAGUCGGGACCUAAGCUGAGGCCGAAAGGCGUAGGUGAUGGACAACAGGUUGAUAUUCCUGUACUACCGAUAACCGUUUGAGAGAAGGGAUGACACAGUAGGAUAAGCUAAGCACACUGUUGGUUAUGUGUGCCCAAGCAUUGAGGCAGUCAAAGUAGGCAAAUCCGCUUUGAUAAUGCUGGGAUGUGAUGGGGAGCGAAAUUUAGUAGCGAAGUAGCUGAUUUCACACUGUCAAGAAAAGUCUCUAUCGAGGUUAAAGGUACCCGUACCGCAAACCGACACAGGUGGGUGAGGAGAGUAUCCUAAGGCCAGCGAGAGAACUGUUGUUAAGGAACUCGGCAAAAUGACCCCGUAACUUAGGGAUAAGGGGUGCCACCAUCAGGUGGCCGCAGAGAAUAGGCCCAAGCGACUGUUUACCAAAAACAUAGGUUUCUGCUAAGUCGCAAGACGAUGUAUAGGAGCUGACGCCUGCCCGGUGCUGGAAGGUUAAGGGGAUCUGUUAGAGCAAUCGAAGCAGUGAACUUAAGCCCCAGUAAACGGCGGCCGUAACUAUAACGGUCCUAAGGUAGCGAAAUUCCUUGUCGGGUAAGUUCCGACCCGCACGAAAGGCGUAACGAUUUGGGCACUGUCUCAACAACAGACUCGGUGAAAUUGUAAUUCCGGUGAAGAUGCCGGAUACCUGCGACAGGACGGAAAGACCCCAUGGAGCUUUACUGUAGCUUGACAUUGGGUCUUGGUACUACAUGUACAGGAUAGGUGGGAGGCUUUGAAACCAGGACGCCAGUUUUGGCGGAGCCAUCCUUGGGAUACCACCCUUGUAGUACUGGGACUCUAACCAUAGACCAUGAAUCUGGUCUUGGGACACUGUCAGGUGGGCAGUUUGACUGGGGCGGUCGCCUCCCAAAAGGUAACGGAGGCGCUCAAAGGUUCUCUCAGUACGGUCGGAAAUCGUACGUAGAGUGUAAAGGCAAAAGAGAGCUUGAUUGCAAGACAUACAGGUCGAGCAAGGAUGAAAAUCGGACUUAGUGAUCCGGUGGUUCUGCGUGGAAGGGCCAUCGCUCAACGGAUAAAAGCUACCCUGGGGAUAACAGGCUUAUCUCCCCCAAGAGUCCACAUCGACGGGGAGGUUUGGCACCUCGAUGUCGGCUCAUCACAUCCUGGGGCUGUAGUAGGUCCCAAGGGUUGGGCUGUUCGCCCAUUAAAGUGGUACGCGAGCUGGGUUCAGAACGUCGUGAGACAGUUCGGUCCCUAUCCGUCGCAGGCGUAGGAAAUUUGAGAAGACCUGUCCUUAGUACGAGAGGACCGGGAUGGACGUACCUCUGGUGUACCAGUUGUCCUGCCAAGGGCAUGGCUGGGUAGCUAUGUACGGAAUGGAUAAGCGCUGAAAGCAUCUAAGCGCGAAGCCAACUUCAAGAUAAGAUUUCCCACCGCAAGGGUAAGACCCCAGAAAGACUAUCUGGUUGAUAGGUCGAAGGUGUAAGUGCAGCAAUGUAUUUAGCUUAUCGAUACUAAUAGGUCGAGGACUUGACCAAU
This 2900-nucleotide ribosomal RNA is filed under the name Clostridioides difficile. RNAcentral describes it as "bacterial LSU rRNA". It matches the Rfam family "Bacterial large subunit ribosomal RNA". The record is from RNAcentral. Lineage: Bacteria; Bacillati; Bacillota; Clostridia; Peptostreptococcales; Peptostreptococcaceae.